RNAcentral lists this ribosomal RNA (406 nucleotides) under uncultured bacterium. RNAcentral's name for it is "partial 16S ribosomal RNA". It matches the Rfam family "Bacterial small subunit ribosomal RNA", at positions 30 to 526 of the family's 1533-position model. The record is from RNAcentral.
AUUGAACGCUGGCGGCAGGCCUAACACAUGCAAGUCGAACGAGUGGCGGACGGGUGAGUAAUGUCUGGGAAACUGCCCGAUGGAGGGGGAUAACUACUGGAAACGGUAGCUAAUACCGCAUACCAUCGGAUGUGCCCAGAUGGGAUUGGCUUGUAGGUGAGGUAACGGCUCACCUAGGAGACGAUCCCUAGCUGGUCUGCGAGGAUUACCAGCAACACUGGAACUGAGACACGGUCCAGACUCCGACGUGAGGCAGCAGUGGGGAAGAUUGCAAAAUGGGCGGAAGCCUGAUGCAGCCAUGCCGCGUGUAUGAAGAAGGCUUUCGGUUUUUAAAGUACUUUCAGCGGGGCGGCGUUACCCGCAGAAGAAGCACCGGCUAACUCCGUGCCAGCAGCCGCGGUAAUUC